GAUGAACGCUGGCGGCGUGCCUAAUACAUGCAAGUCGAGCGAACAGACGCGGCGCUUGCUCCUCUGACGUUAGCGGCGGACGGGUGAGUCACACGUGGAUAACCUACCUAUAAGACUGGGAUAACUUCGAGAAACCGGAGCUAAUACCGGAUAAUAUAUUGAACCGCAUGGUUCAAUAGUGAAAGACGGUUUUGCUGUCACUUAUAGAUGGAUCCGCGCCGCAUUAGCUAGUUGGUAAGGUAACGGCUUACCAAGGCAACGAUGGGUAGCCGACGUGCAAGGGUGAACGGCCACACUGGAACUGGGACGCGGUCCAGACUCCUACGGGCGGCAGCGGUAGGGAAGGUUCGGCAAUGGGGGGAAGCCUGACGGAGCGACGCCGCGCGGGUGAUGAAAGUCUUCGGAGCGUAAAACUCUGUUAGGAGUGAAGAACAAUUGUGUAAGGAACGAUGCACGUCUUGACGGUACCUAGUCAGGAAGCCACGGCUAACUACGUG
This 497-nucleotide ribosomal RNA is filed under the name uncultured bacterium. RNAcentral's name for it is "partial 16S ribosomal RNA". It matches the Rfam family "Bacterial small subunit ribosomal RNA", at positions 28 to 507 of the family's 1533-position model. The record is from RNAcentral.